This 1184-nucleotide small RNA is filed under the name Histoplasma ohiense. RNAcentral's name for it is "hypothetical lncRNA". Lineage: Eukaryota; Fungi; Ascomycota; Eurotiomycetes; Onygenales; Ajellomycetaceae. The record is from RNAcentral.
GCACCAGACGCGCGAUCCGUGUUGCGUUUUACGUUGGCUGUCGACCAGACAAAUCCUCGGUUGAGCUAGUGAUCACAAAAGGGGCAGGUUGUCCAUACCCAUGAAAGCGACGGCGUUUUCCGCCCCCAUCAACUGCGCAGUAAGGGGAUGUACGGAGGAUUUCAAAAUAUUUUCCGGCGAUCAAGUUUAUCGUGCCGUGCCUUGCGUGGGUCUUUAACAGGACUGCGUGCAGAGAGCUUUGACAGCGGACAGCAGCUAGCCUCUCAAGUGUCAUGAAGAGAAAAUGAGGUGGUAGAGCUAGGGAGGACUAGUUUGAGUUUGGCGCAGGCCAGAAAGAGAGAGCUGUUGGAAGGAUUGGAUUGGGUGGUUCGUCCGCUCUACAACCAGGAUGGCGCUGGUGAUUUUGACUACUUAACGUUUUUGCACUGCGAAAAGGAGGAGUUGGUGUAGUUGACUAAUGAAAGCGGGCUGUUUUUCGCGGGUUGUCAAAUCCCUUCCAAACCGAAAUAGUCACCGUCGCGUGUAGGAAUAGUGCAAGGCUCCAACCCUUGAUAUCCGUUUAAUUCUCCGCGUCCUGUGGCUGGUGAAGGUCGGGCUGCAACCCUUUCAGCUGGUGAUGGAUGACAAACACCUUACUUACAUAGUCGCCUUGGGAAAGAAAGAUUCCGAGUCCAGUGGCGCUUUGAACGAGGAUGACUUUUCUGAUUCCUGGAAGAAUAUGUCUUUUUCAAUGCACAUUGUGUUUGAGCACUGCUAGGGUAUGUUUGCCUUACAACUUCAUGUCAAGGGACCGCUGUCAAUGAAAAGUACACCAACUAGCGGACCCCACUAUCCUUAUAAGGAAAAAAGGAUAACGUGUAAGGAUAGUGCGUGGCUGCAAGUAGAUCUGAGGUUCAGAAGAAUAAGACGCUGGAUAGGAGCAAGGCUGGCUAGUUAACGGGACAUACAACAGGAUGAGUUUUGGCAGCUUUGUGUGUUUACACAAACAAAGUCAUACUUCGAUGUGCUUGCAACUGCGUGGGAUUAUGAACAGCUGACACAGAGCUUGUGUUAUGUAUGUACAUGUACAUACAGUAAGUUCGUGUGCAUCCAAGUAUAUAUAUAUUCUGUGCAAUACUGCCAUCAAAACUAGGACAUACAUAGUAAAACAUGAUAGUGCAACCAUUAAAUUUUAAAUUUGUCUG